CAGUCGUACGCUUCUUUUUCCCCGGAGCUUGCUCCACCGGAAAAAGAAGAGUGGCGAACGGGUGAGUAACACGUGGGUAACCUGCCCAUCAGAAGGGGAUAACACUUGGAAACAGGUGCUAAUACCGUAUAACAAUCGAAACCGCAUGGUUUUGAUUUGAAAGGCGCUUUCGGGUGUCGCUGAUGGAUGGACCCGCGGUGCAUUAGCUAGUUGGUGAGGUAACGGCUCACCAAGGCCACGAUGCAUAGCCGACCUGAGAGGGUGAUCGGCCACAUUGGGACUGAGACACGGCCCAAACUCCUACGGGAGGCAGCAGUAGGGAAUCUUCGGCAAUGGACGAAAGUCUGACCGAGCAACGCCGCGUGAGUGAAGAAGGUUUUCGGAUCGUAAAACUCUGUUGUUAGAGAAGAACAAGGAUGAGAGUAACUGUUCAUCCCUUGACGGUAUCUAACCAGAAAGCCACGGCUAACUACGUGCCAGCAGCCGCGGUAAUACGUAGGUGGCAAGCGUUGUCCGGAUUUAUUGGGCGUAAAGCGAGCGCAGGCGGUUUCUUAAGUCUGAUGUGAAAGCCCCCGGCUCAACCGGGGAGGGUCAUUGGAAACUGGGAGACUUGAGUGCAGAAGAGGAGAGUGGAAUUCCAUGUGUAGCGGUGAAAUGCGUAGAUAUAUGGAGGAACACCAGUGGCGAAGGCGGCUCUCUGGUCUGUAACUGACGCUGAGGCUCGAAAGCGUGGGGAGCAAACAGGAUUAGAUACCCUGGUAGUCCACGCCGUAAACGAUGAGUGCUAAGUGUUGGAGGGUUUCCGCCCUUCAGUGCUGCAGCUAACGCAUUAAGCACUCCGCCUGGGGAGUACGACCGCAAGGUUGAAACUCAAAGGAAUUGACGGGGGCCCGCACAAGCGGUGGAGCAUGUGGUUUAAUUCGAAGCAACGCGAAGAACCUUACCAGGUCUUGACAUCCUUUGACCACUCUAGAGAUAGAGCUUCCCCUUCGGGGGCAAAGUGACAGGUGGUGCAUGGUUGUCGUCAGCUCGUGUCGUGAGAUGUUGGGUUAAGUCCCGCAACGAGCGCAACCCUUAUUGUUAGUUGCCAUCAUUUAGUUGGGCACUCUAGCAAGACUGCCGGUGACAAACCGGAGGAAGGUGGGGAUGACGUCAAAUCAUCAUGCCCCUUAUGACCUGGGCUACACACGUGCUACAAUGGGAAGUACAACGAGUCGCGAAGUCGCGAGGCUAAGCUAAUCUCUUAAAGCUUCUCUCAGUUCGGAUUGUAGGCUGCAACUCGCCUACAUGAAGCCGGAAUCGCUAGUAAUCGCGGAUCAGCACGCCGCGGUGAAUACGUUCCCGGGCCUUGUACACACCGCCCGUCACACCACGAGAGUUUGUAACACCCGAAGUCGGUGAGGUAACCU
Molecule: ribosomal RNA, 1409 nt
Filed under: Enterococcus durans
Lineage: Bacteria; Bacillati; Bacillota; Bacilli; Lactobacillales; Enterococcaceae
Description: bacterial SSU rRNA
Rfam family: Bacterial small subunit ribosomal RNA
Source: RNAcentral